ACCAGCAGCCAUAACACCCUGCAGCUCCCAGCUGGCUGCCCACUGAAGCCCAGCAGGUGUGAGCCUGGCCAGUACCUGGAUGGGAGACCUCCUGGGAAAAACUAAGGUUGGUGCUGGAA
RNAcentral lists this ribosomal RNA (119 nucleotides) under Lepisosteus oculatus (spotted gar). Lineage: Eukaryota; Metazoa; Chordata; Actinopteri; Semionotiformes; Lepisosteidae. The record is from RNAcentral.